UAGGGAAUUUUCGUCAAUGGGGGGAACCCUGAACGAGCAAUGCCGCGUGAGUGAAGAAGGUCUUCGGAUCGUAAAGCUCUGUUGUAAGAGAAAAACGGGCUCCAUAGGGAAUGAUGGAGAAGUGAUGGUAUCUUACCAGAAAGCCACGGCUAACUACGUGCCAGCAGCCGCGGUAAUACGUAGGUGGCGAGCGUUAUCCGGAAUCAUUGGGCGUAAAGGGUGCGUAGGUGGCACGAUAAGUCUGUAGUAAAAGGCAGCGGCUCAACCGCUGUUGGCUAUGGAAACUGUCGAGCUGGAGUGCAGAAGAGGGCGAUGGAAUUCCAUGUGUAGCGGUAAAAUGCGUAGAUAUAUGGAGGAACACCAGUGGCGAAGGCGGCCGCCUGGUCUGCAACUGACACUGAAGCACGAAAGCGUGGGGAGCAAAUA
This 426-nucleotide ribosomal RNA is filed under the name uncultured bacterium. Its description in RNAcentral is "bacterial SSU rRNA". It matches the Rfam family "Bacterial small subunit ribosomal RNA", at positions 355 to 774 of the family's 1533-position model. The record is from RNAcentral.